CGCAAUGGGCGAAAGCCUGACGGAGCAACGCCGCGUGAGUGAUGACGGCCUUCGGGUUGUAAAGCUCUGUGAUCGGGGACGAACGGGCCAUAAGCUAAUACCUUAUGGAAGUGACGGUACCCGAAUAGCAAGCCACGGCUAACUACGUGCCAGCAG
This 156-nucleotide ribosomal RNA is filed under the name uncultured Bacillota bacterium. RNAcentral's name for it is "uncultured Firmicutes bacterium partial 16S ribosomal RNA". It matches the Rfam family "Bacterial small subunit ribosomal RNA", at positions 367 to 514 of the family's 1533-position model. Lineage: Bacteria; Bacillati; Bacillota. The record is from RNAcentral.